Molecule: long non-coding RNA, 323 nt
Organism: Mirounga angustirostris (Northern elephant seal)
Lineage: Eukaryota; Metazoa; Chordata; Mammalia; Carnivora; Phocidae
Exons: 3
Source: RefSeq, a predicted model, not a curated record
ACGUGGGGUCGCCCCACGUGACUCAAGUUUUUUGGUGGCCGAUUUCAACCGGAACAGAAUUGCUUAGGCUCCUUUGGAUAUCGCGAGAUCUUGUCCUAUAAUUUACUGUCUUCAGAAGGGGACAUUUUUAUCUUGAGCGAGGGGCCUAUCGGGAACACUUUUGACAGGAACAUUGCUGGAGCACCUAAAGUCACAGUGGGAAACCCAGCCCCCUACCAGCGUCCCGCUCCCAGCCAGGGUGGAAGUGCAGCUCACCAGGCCUCCCGAAGCAUCCUUCCUGCGGCUUCUGCCAGUUGAGAAUGGCCUCCAGCCACCGGAGCUUG